UUGUAGAACUUUCAUCAUCUUCUUCAUCGAUAUCAUCUUUAUUAAUUCCAAUAACGCUUUCAAUAAUUUCUUCAUCAGUCAACAACUGUGCAACUACAUUUUCUUCUGGGUGAGUCAGAACAUCUUCGACAUCCAUUGCAUUGCGAUAACCCAACUCUUUGAUCAAAUUCUGGAGUUCUUGAGUGCUUUCACCACCUUCAUCUGAGUUCUCAAAAGUCAUGUUAUCUGUUGAUCGAAGUUUACAAUGACGAAAGCAACUUCUAUAAAAUCGACGACGAUAAUGCAUCUUAAAAGCUCGUAUGAUCCCCGCGUCAUAAGGUUGAAUUUUUGA
RNAcentral lists this long non-coding RNA (331 nucleotides) under Helianthus annuus (common sunflower). RNAcentral describes it as "sRNA HanXRQr2_Chr03g0120221". Lineage: Eukaryota; Viridiplantae; Streptophyta; Magnoliopsida; Asterales; Asteraceae. The record is from RNAcentral.